Molecule: unclassified non-coding RNA, 290 nt
Filed under: uncultured fungus
Lineage: Eukaryota; Fungi
Description: partial contains 5.8S rRNA, ITS2 and 28S rRNA
Rfam family: Eukaryotic large subunit ribosomal RNA
Source: RNAcentral
AAGGAGUCUAACAUCUAUGCGAGUGUUUGGGGGUCAAGCCCGAGCGCGCAAUGAAAGUGAACGGAGGUGGGAACCCUUUGGGUGCACCAUCGACCGAUCCUGAUGUCUUCGGAUGGAUUUGAGUAAGAGCAUAGCUGUUGGGACCCGAAAGAUGGUGAACUAUGCUUGAAUAGGGUGAAGCCAGAGGAAACUCUGGUGGAGGCUCGCAGCGGUUCUGACGUGCAAAUCGACCGUCAAAUUUGGGCAUAGGGGCGAAAGACUAAUCGAACCAUCUAGUAGCUGGUUCCUGC